Molecule: non-coding RNA, 69 nt
Organism: Ictidomys tridecemlineatus (thirteen-lined ground squirrel)
Lineage: Eukaryota; Metazoa; Chordata; Mammalia; Rodentia; Sciuridae
Source: Rfam
GGGGUUGUGGCUCAGCGGUAGAGCGCUUGCCUGGCAUGUGCAAGGCCCAGGGUUCAAUCCUCAGCAUCA